This is a long non-coding RNA of Oncorhynchus keta (chum salmon), 777 nucleotides long. RefSeq lists it as uncharacterized. The transcript is spliced from 3 exons. Lineage: Eukaryota; Metazoa; Chordata; Actinopteri; Salmoniformes; Salmonidae. The record is from RefSeq and is a predicted model, not a curated record.
UAAACCCUGAGGUUACUAUUCCACAGUGUAAACCCCAGGGUUACUAUUCCACAGUGUAAACCCAGAGGUUACUAAUCCCCCCUGUAAACCCAGAGGUUACUAUUCCACAGUGUAAACCCUGAGGUUACUAAUCCCCCCUGUAAACCCAGAGGUUACUAUUCCAUACUGUAAACCCUGAGGUUACUAUUCCACACUGUAAACCCAGAGGUUACUAAUCCCCCCUGUAAACCCUGAGGUUACUAUUCCCCCUGUAAACCCUGAGGUUACUAUUCCACACUGUAAACCCCGAGGUUACUAUUCCACACUGUAAACCCUGAGGUUGCUAUUCCCCCUGUAAACCCUGAGGUUACUAUUCCACUCUGUAAACCCUGAGGUUACUAUUCCACUCUGUAAACCCUGAGGUUACUAUUCCCCCUGUAAACCCUGAGGUUACUAUUCCACACUGUAAACCCUGAGGUUACUAUUCCACACUGUAAACCCUGAGGUUACUAUUCCACACUGUAAACCCUGGGAUUGCUAUUCUACACUGUAAACCCUGAGGUUACUAUUCCACAGUGUAAACCCAGAGGUUACUAUUCCCCUUGUAAACCCUGAGGUUACUAUUCCACAGUGUAAACCCUGAGGUUACUAAUCCCCCCUGUAAACCCUGAGGUUACUAUUCCACAGUGUAAACCCUGAGGUUACUAAUCCCCCCUGUAAACCCUGAGGUUACUAUUCCACAGUGUAAACCCUGAGGUUACUAAUCCCCCCUGUAAACCCUGAGGUUACUAUUCCCCC